AACUUUUAUAAAUAAAGAAGAAUUUUCUAUAAAUAUUAUUUUUGAAUAUUAUGGAGUAAGUUUGAUAUAAUGUUAUAGUUGUGGGUAAUAUUUAUAAAUUUUGCAAAGUAAGCAAGUUGUUAUAAAAUAUUCGUUUGGUCGGGGAAUAUUCUUUUUGUCGGGGAAUAUUCGUACGACGGCACAAUCAUUGGUGGACCCCAUAACGGAAUUAUUGUCGGAUUGAAAAAACGACAAAAAUACUUUAUGAAAAUAACUACGGAGGUGUUACCGUUAAAACUGUUGAACUACCCGGUAGUAAAAGUACAGUAAUACGCGUGGUUGCAUAGUAGCACACGGUAUUGAUUAUUGAUGCUUACNNNN
RNAcentral lists this long non-coding RNA (360 nucleotides) under Panax ginseng (ginseng). Its description in RNAcentral is "long non-coding RNA (PGIN_LNC000638)". The record is from RNAcentral. Lineage: Eukaryota; Viridiplantae; Streptophyta; Magnoliopsida; Apiales; Araliaceae.